UAGAGUUUGAUUCCCUGGCUCAGAUUGAACGCUGGCGGCAGGCCUAACACAUGCAAGUCGAGCGGAUGAAGAGAGCUUGCUCUCUGAUUCAGCGGCGGACGGGUGAGUAAUGCCUAGGAAUCUGCCUAUUAGUGGGGGACAACGUUUCGAAAGGAACGCUAAUACCGCAUACGUCCUACGGGAGAAAGCAGGGGACCUUCGGGCCUUGCGCUAAUAGAUGAGCCUAGGUCGGAUUAGCUAGUUGGUGAGGUAAAGGCUCACCAAGGCGACGAUCCGUAACUGGUCUGAGAGGAUGAUCAGUCACACUGGAACUGAGACACGGUCCAGACUCCUACGGGAGGCAGCAGUGGGGAAUAUUGGACAAUGGGCGAAAGCCUGAUCCAGCCAUGCCGCGUGUGUGAAGAAGGUCUUCGGAUUGUAAAGCACUUUAAGUUGGGAGGAAGGGCAGUAAGCUAAUACC
Molecule: ribosomal RNA, 460 nt
Filed under: Stutzerimonas stutzeri
Lineage: Bacteria; Pseudomonadati; Pseudomonadota; Gammaproteobacteria; Pseudomonadales; Pseudomonadaceae
Description: bacterial SSU rRNA
Rfam family: Bacterial small subunit ribosomal RNA
Source: RNAcentral